UGGCUAAUUAUGUGAGACCUUAAAAAAUUAAUGUGACAAAAAAAUAAUUUUUUAAUCAUUAAAUAAACAAAUGUAAUUAAAUGUGGGGCAAAAUGGUCAAAACACAAUUUAAUGCUGUCAAAUUUCCUCCACCUCCAAAACCACCUUGACCCCACCGCUUCUCUCCUCACCUCCACCACCACCGCCUCCUCCUACUGCUCUUCCCCAACGUCCCUCCUAACCUCCACCUCCGCCGCCCCCCUCCUCUUCUUUACCAUCGCCUCAGUCCUCUCCUACCUCAUGAGAAUUUGAGCUUCGCAGAGAGAUUUUACAAAGAGAUAGAGAUGGUUACCUCAGUCAUGGCUGCAAACAGGGUAUUUUACUGCAAAAAUUGGAUCUUCACUACAAAGACUUCAAAAAAAAUCAUAAAAACCCAACAAUUUCUUCAUUUCCUUUUUUUCCCUUUCACGAGCAGAUUGAAAAACAACUAUAAAACCCAAAAAAAACCCCAUCAUCUUCUCCCUCGUCUUUCAUCCCUUUCUCUCCUCCACCCUCCCCAAUCCUUGGAUCUCUGCCACGAAAUUGCUUUUCUUGUUCAUCCACAAUUGACAAACACGAAUACCCAGAACUAUUUUUAACCCCAUCACCAUUAUUCAUCUCAAUAAUCGACAUUUUAUCACAAAAUCAAGGGCCUAAUUUCAAAUUUGCACACACAAAUAACCUCAAUAUACACUAUGAAAAUACGGGAUUUUUUAUAUUUUUUCUAACAGAAAUACUCAUGAUGAUGAAAUUCUUACUUCAAAAGAAGUUUUGAUCAUCAAUUUGCUUUGAGAAAUUGAAAUCUCAUAAUCGAUACAGAUUGGGCUGAAGAGGGAGAGUGGUGAAUCUAAAGGACUGGCGAUGAGGAGUCGAAGUCAGAGAUCUAUAGAGAUCUAUGAACAUGGAGGUGAAUCGUGAAUCUAAUUCCAAGGGCAAGAAGUUGAAGAGGAAUGAUAAAGUAAAAUGAAGUGAAGAGAAAGGAUUAUUUGCAGUGGCGGCGGCAAUGGGCGGAAGUGAAGAUGAUAGGGGUUUGUUUUUGAAACUUUUGAUUUAUUUAAUUAGGUUAAAGAAUGUUGUGACAAUUUUAUCCUCUAUUAUAUCUAAAAUUGUUUAAUUAAUAAAUAAAAUAUUAUUUUUUUAUUACAACUCAGCUGAUUAAUGCCUCACCUAUAUAGUCAUGUCAGCAAUUUCUGACGUGACAUGUUCAAUUUGUUGCAAUUAGAAAAAAUUGAUAGUUCAAUCAUUUAAUUGACAAAAUUAAAAGGUGAAUCACCGAAAUAAAAUAUGAUCUAUAAUUUAAGAUACUAAUUCAUAUUUAAGGCUUUAUUGAAUGGGUUAACAAUAAUCUAUUUAAAAGGCUCUAAUAGACUAAGUGGCAUGUACUGCACAUCUCAGUCACAAAUUUUCGCUCUUCUUUAUUUUCAUAUUAUUUUUUUUAUUGAAAAAACUUAAUGACGAGAUAAAAGUGUUAGUUACAGCAGAUAAAAGUUAAGGCGUACCAUAUCCCACCACGGUUAAUUUGUCACACAUAAAUAUAAGUAGAGCAACAAGGAGAAAAACAAAGUAACAUGCGAGUAAAAAGGAAAACUGGACUACAUUAAAAGAAUGGUAUACAUUUUGUCUUGAUGUUUUCAAAUGAUAUUUUCCCUAAAUUCAGUUCAUGUUAGAGUUCAUACUGAAGCUUUAAACCACAGUCCACAGCUAGCGAAGGAUAUAUUAUGUCCAUGUUUUGACCUCAGACUUUUGCCAAUAACAUCCAACACUCUUGAGUGUCAAGAGUGUUUAACACGAAGCUGAUAGACAUUGGUAUAAUGGCAUUGCUCCCUUGUAUUGGUAGUCUAGUAUGAGCACUUCUGCAAACUGUCAAAUUUCUGCCAAUUAUUCUCUAGUGAUUAAGGCCUCUUUUCUUCAUGAAAUUUAGGCCUUUUAUGUUUUCAACCUGAUAAUCUUUGCAUGUGAAUAUACUCGUCAAUCAUAAUCAUGGAAUGCCUGGGGAAAAAAUCAGGGAAAGGAUUUCGAGUUACUGUAACUUGCUUAUAGUCAUGAUCAGUGUCAGAGAUUUUUUUGAACUUCUCAAGGAACAAAAAAUGUGUGGGCAUUACAAAAAAUGUUUGGGACAAAUUUAUGGAGUCGAGAAAAAUGCACCAAAACAAAGACAAUUUGGAACAGCCCACAACCGAAGAUAUGCACUGUAAACCAACUCGAGGGAUAAAAUACAUCAAUACUCACAAUUGAGGACAAGAAAGCUUAUAGUUAUGCAACAUAUUACACAACUUCCCCAUCGACACAAUUAGGCAUAGAUUUUUGACCAAAAUUCACUGAACAACUAUAAAGUUCCUAGAAAACUGACUACGAUCACAAACCAUGUUCUGCCCCUUCAGUUUAAUAUUUUUAAAGAUUUUUUCUUGCUCCUCAUAUCAGCUCUAGGUUCCAUCUUCACAGGCAAUGGAGCAGAGAAUACAAAGCUUCCAUCGUCAUUCUCAAACAGGUCGCCUCUAGGGUCUCUGUCAUCAUCACUAAUUUGGGGAGAUUCAUUAUCGUCUGUGUGUAAUUCUUCAUCGUCAUUCCCAGUCCCAAUUUCUGCAACUCCUCUGCCUAAAUACUCAGCAUCAAUUGAAUCACUCCCAUCAAUGCUAUUACUUUCUCCAUUAGGAUUUGGCCAGUUACUGCUUCUGUAAACCAUAUAAACAUUCACAUUGUCUUCAAAGCUAACAUUUUUCUUUGCCUUGGCUUGAACCCCAGCAUAUCUCUUCUUCAAAACCCCAGUUCUGAUUUGAGAAACUGUCGGGUUUCCAUUAGUAUAUGUUCUAGGGUUUUCAAACUCUACAUCUUUCUCCUGAUCUUCCUCAGAAAACCCAGAAAAGCCCUCAAUUUUUUCAACCCUCUUCAUCAAUUUCUCCAAUAAUUCCCUCUCCUCCCCUUUUAAACCCCUCCAAUCAGCAAUACUCGUCCUUUGAUCACUCUGAAAAACCCUAGAUUUGGUAGCGGUCCCACCAACUUUCACAUUCUUCACUACUCUGCUUAAAAGCUGAUGCCUUUUCAUUGAAAGGUCAUCAAGAUAAUCCAUAAAACGGAUUAAUUCUCUGCUAAUCAACCUUUUACUAUCUCUAAUCAUCGGAUCACCACUCUGCAAGAAAAUCCAAAUCAGACCUUGUACCAACAACAUACAUACACUAUAAUUGAAUUUGAAUAAAAUAUAUGAAUGAAUUGUUGGUGUGAUGCUCCAAAAUUCAUAGUUUUGACAAAGUCCCAUAUUGUCUAUUUUGAUAACAUUAUUUGGGUAUAUUAGCUCAUGUUGGCUUACGCUUUGUAACUUGGUUGAGGAAAUAAGGAAGGGCUCGCGCACAUGAGCACGACUAAAGAAUUGGGCUAGGCCAAGCUUGGUUCUUGGACUUUCGGCCAGAAAACCUUAGCCGUUUUUCAAUAGCAUAAACCUUAUUUAUUAGCAAUGUUCCCUUUUACGUUACUGUUUUCCCCAAUGUUCUUUUUACCGUUGCUUCUCAACGUCCUUCUUCUUCCUAUCAUAUAUAUAUGUAUUGUUUUUGUUCUUCAAGAGAUAUCAGUUCUUCCUCUGCACAUAUACAAUAUCAGUUUAUCAUCUUCUUCUCCUUUCUAAAACUUUAUUAAUUGGGGCAAUUCACAAAGACAAGUCCACGGGCUUUCUUCUGCGAGUACACACAAUCACUUUUUAGGACAGUAGCUUUGCUACUGAUGAGUGUGUUUUAUAUACACAAAUUACGUACUUUUGAGUUUUAUAAUUUGUAAAUCCUAAGCUAGUUUGUUUGCUUUUUAUGUGUUUUCAUUGAAUUGUUGUGUAAUAUAGUUUUAUAUUGCUUUUAUGUAUAUUUGUAUUAGUUUUAUGUGUUUUUACUUUGUUUUGUAGUAAUUGGAUGG
This 3912-nucleotide long non-coding RNA is filed under the name Panax ginseng (ginseng). RNAcentral's name for it is "long non-coding RNA (PGIN_LNC005330)". Lineage: Eukaryota; Viridiplantae; Streptophyta; Magnoliopsida; Apiales; Araliaceae. The record is from RNAcentral.